Molecule: ribosomal RNA, 403 nt
Filed under: Verrucomicrobiota bacterium
Lineage: Bacteria; Pseudomonadati; Verrucomicrobiota
Description: Verrucomicrobia bacterium partial 16S ribosomal RNA
Rfam family: Bacterial small subunit ribosomal RNA
Source: RNAcentral
UGGGGAAUAUUGCACAAUGGGGGAAACCCUGAUGCAGCGACGCCGCGUGAGCGAAGAAGGUUUUCGAAUCGUAAAGCUCUGUCCUAUGAGAAGAUAAUGACGGUAUCAUAGGAGGAAGCCCCGGCUAAAUACGUGCCAGCAGCCGCGGUAAUACGUAUGGGGCGAGCGUUGUCCGGAAUUAUUGGGCGUAAAGGGUACGUAGGCGGUCUAUUAAGUCAGGUGUGAAAGCGUGAGGCUUAACCUCAUUAAGCACUUGAAACUGAUAGACUUGAGUGAAGGAGAGGAAAGUGGAAUUCCUAGUGUAGCGGUGAAAUGCGUAGAUAUUAGGAGGAACACCGGUGGCGAAAGCGGCUUUUUGGCCUGCAACUGACACUGAGGCGCGAAAGCGUGGGGAGCAAACAGG